AGUUGUUUCAGCAAAGCUUGAUGAUGCUAUAAAUCGAUUUGGUGCAAUCUUUUCUCCAUUAAUGUAUCCUUCAAGUCGAUUUCCUCUAAUGGAGGCCAGGACUUGAUUUUUCCAAAGCAUGUAGUUAGAUCUAUCUAAUUUGAUUGGUGUGAUGAAAGAAAAAGUUGUUUGAUUUGCAGCUACUGUAUUUUGAUUGUUUGUGAUUGCCAUGAUUGGCUCUGAUACCACGAAGAAAUUGUAAAAAUGGAUAAAUGCUGUUGUUUGGUAGCUAAGAA
RNAcentral lists this long non-coding RNA (275 nucleotides) under Citrus maxima (pomelo). RNAcentral's name for it is "long non-coding RNA (CMAX_LNC000730)". The record is from RNAcentral. Lineage: Eukaryota; Viridiplantae; Streptophyta; Magnoliopsida; Sapindales; Rutaceae.